Kogia breviceps (pygmy sperm whale) is the source of this 3057-nucleotide non-coding RNA. NCBI's taxonomy places the organism in Eukaryota, Metazoa, Chordata, Mammalia, Artiodactyla, Physeteridae. The record is from RefSeq and is a predicted model, not a curated record.
GGGGCGUACAGUGAAGCUGCUUCUGCAGGUGUGAAAAACACUGCAAAGUGGAUUCAGCUGCUGCUACAGGAAGGAACUGCCACUGCUGGGGUAAAGAUCUGUAGCUGGAGAGAUGUUCACCAGAACAGGAAGCAAACUGGGAGGAGCAAGUCCCUUCCUCCUCCUCCAUCCCUGCAAUCUCCCUCAGGCACUGUCUAUGCAGAGUCUAACAGGGAACAGCUGGCAAAGCAGAAAUGUAGUUUGUAGAGUCCCAGCACCAGCAUUGCAAAGAAUAUAUAUAGGAAGGUGAGUUGGAGCUAAAAUAGCUUCUAACUGGCACAAUAAUAAAAAGAUAAUUUAGGUUAGAAGAUGAUAAGGGCUUUGGGGGAAAGAAAAGAGCAAGGUAAAGAGGAUCAGGAGAGUGUUCCAUUUUAAAUAGGGCAAUCAGGGCGGGCCUCAUUGAGAAGGUGAUUUUUGAGUUAUAACUUAGAGUGAUGAGAUGUACCACUAAUCUAACAAUGGUCCUAUCCAAGAUGUCUUCCAGGCAGUCACUGCACUGCCAGUAAUUGUCCAGGACCAGCAAAAUUCACUGCUUCAGGCCUUUCUUACCCAGAUUUAUAUCUGAGACAGAACUGCUCCUAUUUCUCACAUUUCCUUUCCCAAUCCUAUGUAAACAGAUGCUUUAAACUGAAUCUCAGGGACAAAGCCCUUUCCUAAACCUGAAAAGAUACCUGAUCUGAGGGAUUUAUCACAGGUGGAAUCAUCUGGCAUGACUCCAUAUUCCAAGAACAUUCUAAAGAAAGCUUCUUCUCUGAAACAGAGACUUAACAGUUACACACACACACACACACACACACACACACACACACACACACACACACACAGGCAUUCUUCAGCUUAUGAGACUAUUGAUGCCAAGGCUGGGAAUAAGCAAAUUCGUGAGAGCUGUCCAGUCAUCUCAGAAACCAUUUUAGGGGGAAUUCCUUAGUGGUCCAGUGGUUAGGAUUCUGUGCUCUCACUGCCGAGGGCCUGGGUUCAAUCCCUGGUCAGGGAACUAAGAUCCCACGAUCCGUGUGGUGCAGCAAAAAAAUAAUAAUAAUAAGAGUAAUGCUGCACCUUUGAGCUUUCAGAAAUGAUUUUAAACAUUGGCAUAUUCCACUAUGUAAAAUAUAAGGGCUUUUCAGAUAAAAAGUAAAAGCCUGGGUAGAGUGACCCACAGAACCAAGUAGCCUUGAAAUACAAAUUAAAACCAUGAGGAGACAUCACAACACUCCCAUCAGAAUGGCUGAAUUAAAAAGACUGACGUGUUCACAAGGGCUUAGAGCAACCGGAAUGCUCAUCUCUUGCUGGUAGGAAUAUAAGAUGGUGCAACCUCUUCGGAAAUCUGUUGAGCAGAUUUUUCUAAAGCUAAAUAUAUGGCUACCUUCUCAUUCAGCAAUACCAAUCCUAAGUAUAUACCCAAGAGAAAUGGUUGCACAAAAAGACAUGUACAGAAUGUUCCUAGUAGCUUGACUUGUAAUAGCCAAUGACUGGGAAAAAUUCAAAUUAGUCAACAGAUGAAUGGGUAAAUAAACUGUGGCAGAGGCAUAUAAUGGGCUGCUACUCAACAGCAAUGACAACAAAACAGCCCUCUGUACACUUGUCCAUGAAGUACCCUAUGGGGCCUUCCUGGGACAGACAUCCCUAUGUCCUCCACCUUCCUCUUGUUUGCAGAAAAACUUUAGCCUCCUAGGCCUUCCCCAAAUUCCAAAGAAUAAAUUUAAUCAGAGAAGUGAGAAAAUGCAGAAGCAAAGGGAAACAGUCAAGCAAGACAAAAUAAUAAUAGUUUAGCCAUUAAAUGGAGUCAGGGAUGUUUAGUUCCUCCUCAAGUGCUAUAGAUAAUAUUCUGAGCUAUAUACAUUGAGCUGUUUUGCAGAUACUGAAACCCCCACCAGAUGGAAGAAGUUAACUGUAUGCUGCCCACAAGCAUGUAGACCCCAGACCAGUUGGAACCAGAAGGCUGAUGAUGUUGACUCCCAAUUACCUCACUACCAACCAACCAAAAGUAUGUCCACAAGCUAAUCAUGCACUCCAUAACCGCCCUCCCUUACCCUGUCUUUAAAAACCUUUCCCUGAAAGCCAUCAAGGAGUUUGGGCCUUUUGAGCAUUAGCCGCCUGGACUCCUUGCUUGAUGUGCUGCAAUAAAUGGUACAUAUUCCUUCACCACAACCGGUGUCAGUAGAUUGGCUUUACUACACGCGGGCAAGCAGACUCAAGUUUGGAUCCGUAACACACUCAGUAACUUCGAUGAAUCUCAAAAACAAAAAUAUUGUGCAAAAGGAGCCACACACAAGAGCACAUACUGUAUAUGCAAGAACAGGCAAAACUGAUGAUAAUAGAAGUCAGAACUGUGGUUACCUCCAGUGGCGGAGUGAUAUGGAUUGGGAAGUUUUGAGGAAGCUAGCUGGGUUGCUGAAAGCAUUCUCCACCUUGAUCUGGGUGGUGGUCACGUGGAUAUGUACAUAUGUGAAAAUCCAUCAAGCAUUUAGGAUUAGCCUGGCUAUGAACUUUGUAAUCUGUGUGUUAUCCUUCAACAGAUAAAAGAAAAAGAGAGGAAGAGAGGGAGGCAAGCAUCUUUCCUUAGGGAAGCAUGGGCUUUUGUAUGGCCAACAUCACCCCACAUGAGACAGGAAGGAGGGAUUUGACAAAAACUGGUUAGAACCUACUAAGCCCAAGAUGGUGGAAGAUUCGACUUCCAGUAGACCUUGAGCCUCAUUAUACGCUCAUUGUAAUACAUUAGCAUAAGCUAAGUGACACACGCACAGGUGCCAUGACAGUUCCGAGGCUGACCUAAAAGGACAAAAGUGGGCGGUGGCCCAAAUUCUGGAAAUUCCCGCCCCUUCCCCAAAAUAGUUGGAAUAAUCCUCCCACUCGUUAGCCUAUGAAAUUACCCAGCCCAUAAAAACUAACAACCCCAUAUUUCGGGGCGGUAUCACUUUUCAAAACGACCCUAUGCCCUGGGACCGGUCUCCCUUCUCAGAAGGACCGCAUUCUGUCUAUGGAAUGUGUACCUCUCUAAAUAAACUUGCUUUCACUUUA